AGCAUUGACAGCUUGUACAGUAUUGAGAUGACAAAAUUGAACUUUGUGAUAUUCUCCAAUGGAUGCAAACCAGUCUUGCAAGGCAUCAACAAUUCGAGAUAUGAAUUCUCUAAGAACAGCAUGAGAAUCGGCACCUUCUCGAAGCAUUUGAACAUCAAGCCAGGCUUUGAAUUCUGCGAGACGAUCUCUCCACUUUGAUGGGGGUACAUCGUCUAAUGUGAACCAUGGGCCUGAGCUGGGCCUGGAUUGCUGUUGAGCUCCUUGGAUAUUAAAGUCCAAAAUUGGAUCAUCUUUGGGUAUCUCCACAUGUGGAUCCUAGGCCUGAGGAGGUCCAGUGGCAGGGCCUGUAGUGCCGCUGGUAGAGUCCGUGGUUAGCGAAGGACCUGUUUGAGACGAAGCUGGUGGCGGAUUAGCCAUGAGCAGCUUUGUGAUGUCCAUUUUUUCAUCCUUGCUGUUAUCUUCAGAUGAUUCAUCUGAAGAGAUAUCUUCUGGCUCAGAGGGUAUAGACAUCAUCUGCUGAGGAGAGGGAUCAGGAUACAUCUUGUCAUUGCCUUUAUCAAUCUUCCUUUUUGGAGGAUGAGAUUCUUUCGAAGAAAAUAAGCUCUUUGGUUCAUAUCUGGUAGGUGUUGGGAUUAGUCUGAACAAGGGAGAUGGAUUGUAUGUGGUCUGAGGUGGUUCAUAGGAAUAGUUGAAAGGACCGAAAGGCGAGUAAGCAGGUUCAGGAGUGGGAAGGAAAGGGUUAUGAGUCAUUUGAGUGGAAAAUGGACUGUAAGAAACAGGAGCUUCUGUUGGUUUGUGCAAAUCUGCUUCAACUUGGGCUAACUGUUUCUUUAACCUCCUGAUUUCUAGUUCCUUUUGACUGAACUCUGUGCUAAAUCUCCGUUGUUGGAUUAAGGACCUUAAAUCCCUGUCAAGCUGGGUAAUCUUCCCUUGUAAAUCUUUAUACAUGUUUUGAGCGAAUGUAGAGAAGGAGUCAACCUUUUGAUCAAUAUUAUGAGUUCUUGUAAGGACUUGAUCAAUCUUGGAGUCAAUGCGUUGCAAUGUCUUAUUCUGGACAGCUACAUUCUUUGUUUGCCAAUUCAGAACUUAUUCAGCUUGAGUAAUCGGGGUUAUUUGACUUUCAUUAUCAACCUUGGUUGAAUGAAUGAAAGGUCUGGUAGAGAUUUUAGUCAGUUGGUCUGUUUGUUGAGCUAAUGGAGCGAAAUCUGCUUCAUGAGAGGCAGGAGAGAACAUCAUAUA
Molecule: unclassified non-coding RNA, 1239 nt
Filed under: Hevea brasiliensis (rubber tree)
Lineage: Eukaryota; Viridiplantae; Streptophyta; Magnoliopsida; Malpighiales; Euphorbiaceae
Source: RNAcentral